Molecule: ribosomal RNA, 424 nt
Filed under: uncultured bacterium
Lineage: Bacteria
Description: bacterial SSU rRNA
Rfam family: Bacterial small subunit ribosomal RNA
Source: RNAcentral
GGAAUAUUCGUCAAUGGGGGAAACCCUGAACGAGCAAUGCCGCGUGAAUGAUGAAGGCCCUAUGGGUUGUAAAAUUCUGUUGUUUGGGAAGAACUACAGAAAUAGGAAAUGAUUUCUGUUUGACGGUACCAUUCAAGAAAGCUCCGGCUAACUACGUGCCAGCAGCCGCGGUAAUACGUAGGGAGCGAGCGUUAUCCGGAUUUAUUGGGCGUAAAGCGUCCGCAGCCGGUUUAUUAAGUGUAGAAUUAAAGCCCGGGGCUUAACUCCGGUUCGUUCUACAAACUGAUAGGCUAGAGUGUAGUAGAGGCAAGUGGAAUUUCUAGUGUAGCGGUGGAAUGCGUAGAUAUUAGAAGGAACACCAGUGGCGAAGGCGACGUGCUGGGAUAUUAAUGACGGUCAGGGACGAAAGCGUGGGGAGCAAAUA